CCCUUAGAUGUUCUGGGCCGCACGCGCGCUACACUGACGAAUGCAACGAGCUUAUAACCUUGGCCGAAAGGUCUGGGUAAUCUCCAAAUUUCGUCGUGAUGGGGAUAGAUUAGUGCAAUUAUUAAUCUUCAACGAGGAAUGCCUAGUAAGCGCAAGUCAUCAGCUUGCGUUGAUUACGUCCCUGCCCUUUGUACACACCGCCCGUCGCUCCUACCGAUUGAAUGGUCCGGUGAAGCGUUCGGACCGUGGCCUUUGGACGGUUCGCCGUCUGUUGGCUGCGGGAAGUUCGUUAAACCUUAUCAUUUAGAGGAAGGAGAAGUCGUAACA
This 327-nucleotide ribosomal RNA is filed under the name uncultured eukaryote. Its description in RNAcentral is "partial 18S ribosomal RNA". It matches the Rfam family "Eukaryotic small subunit ribosomal RNA", at positions 1470 to 1796 of the family's 1831-position model. The record is from RNAcentral.